CAAUGGCCAUGGAUGAGGAGAAGCCCGCCCAGGCCUCCUCUGCCUCCUCCGCCCCCCGCGGAUGGACCUCAGGCUUCCACAGGAUGGGCAAAGAACCCCCAGGAUCCUGGGCUUCCCAUCGGUCUGGCCGACCCAGCUGGAUGGACACUGGGACCAGGAUUAACAUCCCAGCAUGAGGAGAGCGAUCGACGCUGGGACAAGGAUUAACCAUCCCAUCCUGUGGAUCGACGCUGGGACAAGGAUCAACCAUCCCAUCCUGUGGAUUGAUGCUGGGACAAGGAUUAACAUCCAUCAGCUGGAUCAACACCUCCUUCUGCACAGGACGACGCCAACGGACAGGAACAGGACCAUGGCCAUGGAUGAGGAGAAGCCCGCCCAGGCCUCCUCUGCCUCCUCCGCCCCCCGCGGAUGGACCUCAGGCUUCCACAGGAUGGGCAAAGAACCCCCAGGAUCCUGGGCUUCCCAUCGGCCAGACCCACCCAGCUGGAUGGACACUGGGACCAGGAUUAACAUCCCAGCACGAGGACAGGGAUCGAUGCUGGGACAAGGAUUAACCAUCCUUUCCUGUGGAUAGAUGCUGGGACAAGGAUUAACCAUCCCAUCAUGGAUCGACGCUGGGACAAGGAUUAACAUCCCAUCAGCUGGACAAACACUGCCCCCUGGUAACCAUUUCUUUCUUCCUCCCUCCCUCCCUUCCUCCCUCCUUCUCUCCCUCUUCUUUCUUUCUUUCUUUCUUUCUUUCUUUCUUUCUUU
This is a long non-coding RNA of Pseudopipra pipra, 753 nucleotides long. RefSeq lists it as uncharacterized. The transcript has 2 exons. The record is from RefSeq and is a predicted model, not a curated record. Lineage: Eukaryota; Metazoa; Chordata; Aves; Passeriformes; Pipridae.